GAAGAUUUGGAAGCGAAGGGCAAAGAAAUUACUGCUCUAGAAACACAAAUCAAGGACCUCCAGCAGAAAUUGCUCCUGGCUGAAGCUAAGCCCGUAGAGAAGGCUGAUGGAGGCAGCAGCAUGGCGGAGCCGAAGGAGGGAGUAGAAAUCAAAUCCCGAGACAUUGGAUUAACCUUUUCAACUCCAA
Molecule: non-coding RNA, 187 nt
Organism: Cucurbita pepo subsp. pepo (vegetable marrow)
Lineage: Eukaryota; Viridiplantae; Streptophyta; Magnoliopsida; Cucurbitales; Cucurbitaceae
Source: RefSeq, a predicted model, not a curated record